Hypanus sabinus (Atlantic stingray) is the source of this 203-nucleotide long non-coding RNA. RefSeq lists it as uncharacterized. The transcript is spliced from 4 exons. Lineage: Eukaryota; Metazoa; Chordata; Chondrichthyes; Myliobatiformes; Dasyatidae. The record is from RefSeq and is a predicted model, not a curated record.
GGAUCAAUGAUCCCCCACAAUCCCAGUACGACACGAGCGUCAAUUCCGGAAGGAAGAGCACCGUGGAUACAAACACCGUGAACGCAUCGGGAACUUAUGAAAAUCUCUCAAGGGAUGAACAGGGCGCAAGGAACGAUGUAGAAGAUGGAAACUCCACUUACACGGGACUUGUCCUGGAGGACCGAUCUGUUUACAGUGAUCUG